GGAUCGGGAGGCUGCCGGUGGGACGGUGGCCAGGCAUGGAUCCAGAACACGCUGUCUCUUGGGUGUGCGACCGGGGCCCGACGGUGCGCGCA
Donghicola sp. KarMa is the source of this 92-nucleotide regulatory RNA element. It matches the Rfam family "Rhodo-rpoB RNA". The record is from Rfam. Lineage: Bacteria; Pseudomonadati; Pseudomonadota; Alphaproteobacteria; Rhodobacterales; Roseobacteraceae.